AUGGAACUACCUCUAAUGGACGGCUUCGAUCUUCCCACCACCUCCGGCCCGUCUGCUACAAUCGCCGGCGGCGACGACCGGCCUCCGAAGAUCACCAGGGACGGCGGCUUGGAGGAUGUGGACACGGGUCCUCUUCCUGACAGGUGCGAGGCGCUGGCUGCGGCCAUCGCAGGGGUGCUAGGCGGCGCGCUUGAGGAGCAUGAGGCGCGCGCCGCGGCCACCGCCCAGAGCCAGGCCGAGCUCGCCACCGCCAUUGACCGCCUCAACGGAGAACUAGACAGGCUAUUGGAGAAUGCACCCUCCCCGGUAAUAGCACAACAUGCAGCAAGGAUUUCUUCUAUCCGCAAGAGAGUGUUAGCGCUAAACAUGCUACUGAGGUCCAUACAAAGACGUAUAGAUAAUAUGGAUAGAAUGAUUUCUACUGGUGUUACAAGUGAUCAUUCAUCUCGUGUGCAGUUGCAAAACCAGAAUUAA
RNAcentral lists this ribosomal RNA (474 nucleotides) under Triticum aestivum (bread wheat). RNAcentral describes it as "partial small subunit ribosomal RNA". The record is from RNAcentral. Lineage: Eukaryota; Viridiplantae; Streptophyta; Magnoliopsida; Poales; Poaceae.